UAAGGAAUAUUGSUCAAUGGACGAGAGUCUGAACCAGCCAUGCCGCGUGCAGGAUGACUGCCCUAUGGGUUGUAAACUGCUUUUAUAUAGGAAGAAAAACUUUCUCGUGAGAAAGCUUGACGGUACUAUAAGAAUAAGGAUCGGCUAACUCCGUG
Molecule: ribosomal RNA, 155 nt
Filed under: uncultured Flavobacterium sp.
Lineage: Bacteria; Pseudomonadati; Bacteroidota; Flavobacteriia; Flavobacteriales; Flavobacteriaceae
Description: partial 16S ribosomal RNA
Rfam family: Bacterial small subunit ribosomal RNA
Source: RNAcentral